This is a long non-coding RNA of Diospyros lotus (date-plum), 202 nucleotides long. RefSeq lists it as uncharacterized. The transcript has 2 exons. The record is from RefSeq and is a predicted model, not a curated record. Lineage: Eukaryota; Viridiplantae; Streptophyta; Magnoliopsida; Ericales; Ebenaceae.
CCUUGAAUGGCCCAAAAGCAUAAUACAAUAAACUGCCUAAUUUUCACAACUAAAUAGCCCAACCACAACAAUGAAUAAGGUUUAAUGUUUCAAAUUAUAUUUUGGCCAAACUGAUAGCUUUUGGCCCAUCAGAAAUUGUAACCUGCAACAUUUAUUUGUCUUGAAUAUAUAUAGGUAAACAAGGUAAAAGGAAAAAGAAAAA